GCGGCGUGCCUAACACAUGCAAGUCGAACGGAUUUGAGGGGCUUGCUCCUCAAGUUAGUGGCGCACGGGUGAGUAACGCGUAGAUAAUCUGCCUGAUGAUCCGGGAUAACACUUCGAAAGGGGUGCUAAUACCGGAUAAGCCCACGGGGUCUUUGGAUUCUGCGGGAAAAGGGGGGGACCUUCGGGCCUUCUGUCAUCAGAUGAGUCUGCGUACCAUUAGCUAGUUGGUAGGGUAAUGGCCUACCAAGGCUACGAUGGUUAGCUGGUKUGAGAGAAUGAUCMSCCWCACUGGAACUGARACACGGUCCAGACUCCUACGGGAGGCAGCAGUGGGGAAUUUUGCGCAAUGGGCSAAAGCYUGACGCAGCAACKCCGCGUGAGUGAUGAAGGCUUUCGKGUCGUAAAGCUCUGUCGAGGGGAAAGAAGUGUWUUGUGGCUAAUA
RNAcentral lists this ribosomal RNA (442 nucleotides) under uncultured Geobacter sp. RNAcentral describes it as "partial 16S ribosomal RNA". It matches the Rfam family "Bacterial small subunit ribosomal RNA", at positions 39 to 465 of the family's 1533-position model. The record is from RNAcentral. Lineage: Bacteria; Pseudomonadati; Thermodesulfobacteriota; Desulfuromonadia; Geobacterales; Geobacteraceae.